GGGCCACUAGCUCAGAUGGUAGAGCACUUGACUUUUAAUCAAGUUGUCUGGGGUUCGAUUCCCCAGUGGCUCACUA
This 76-nucleotide transfer RNA is filed under the name Eubacterium sp. CAG:161. Its description in RNAcentral is "transfer RNA-Lys(TTT)". It matches the Rfam family "tRNA". From Rfam's summary of the family: Transfer RNA (tRNA) molecules are approximately 80 nucleotides in length. Their secondary structure includes four short double-helical elements and three loops (D, anti-codon, and T loops). Further hydrogen bonds mediate the characteristic L-shaped molecular structure. tRNAs have two regions of fundamental functional importance: the anti-codon, which is responsible for specific mRNA codon recognition, and the 3' end, to which the tRNAs corresponding amino acid is attached (by aminoacyl-tRNA synthetases). tRNAs cope with the degeneracy of the genetic code in two manners: having more than one tRNA (with a specific anti-codon) for a particular amino acid; and 'wobble' base-pairing, i.e. permitting non-standard base-pairing at the 3rd anti-codon position. The record is from RNAcentral. RNAcentral also lists the same sequence under 4 other names. Lineage: Bacteria; Bacillati; Bacillota; Clostridia; Eubacteriales; Eubacteriaceae.